This 486-nucleotide ribosomal RNA is filed under the name Bacillus sp. (in: firmicutes). RNAcentral describes it as "bacterial SSU rRNA". It matches the Rfam family "Bacterial small subunit ribosomal RNA", at positions 39 to 508 of the family's 1533-position model. Lineage: Bacteria; Bacillati; Bacillota; Bacilli; Caryophanales; Bacillaceae. The record is from RNAcentral.
GCGGCGUGCCUAAUACAUGCAAGUCGAGCGAAUCAAUAGGAGCUUGCUCCUGUUGGUUAGCGGCGGACGGGUGAGUAACACGUGGGCAACCUGCCUGUAAGACUGGGAUAACACCGGGAAACCGGUGCUAAUACCGGAUAAUCCUUUUCCUCUCAUGAGGAAAAGCUGAAAGUCGGUUUCGGCUGACACUUACAGAUGGGCCCGCGGCGCAUUAGCUAGUUGGUGAGGUAACGGCUCACCAAGGCGACGAUGCGUAGCCGACCUGAGAGGGUGAUCGGCCACACUGGGACUGAGACACGGCCCAGACUCCUACGGGAGGCAGCAGUAGGGAAUCUUCCACAAUGGACGAAAGUCUGAUGGAGCAACGCCGCGUGAGCGAUGAAGGCCUUCGGGUCGUAAAGCUCUGUUGUUAGGGAAGAACAAGUACCGGAGUAACUGCCGGUACCUUGACGGUACCUAACCAGAAAGCCACGGCUAACUACGUGC